Molecule: ribosomal RNA, 498 nt
Filed under: uncultured bacterium
Lineage: Bacteria
Description: partial 16S ribosomal RNA
Rfam family: Bacterial small subunit ribosomal RNA
Source: RNAcentral
AUUGAACGCUGGCGGCAUGCCUUACACAUGCGAGUCGAACGGUAACAGGUCUUCGGAUGCUGACGAGUGGCGAACGGGUGAGUAAUACAUCGGAACGUGCCUAGUAGUGGGGGAUAACUACUCGAAAGAGUGGCUAAUACCGCAUGAGAUCUACGGAUGAAAGCAGGGGAUCGCAAGACCUUGUGCUACUAGAGCGGCCGAUGGCAGAUUAGGUAGUUGGUGGGAUAAAAGCUUACCAAGCCGACGAUCUGUAGCUGGUCUGAGAGGACGAUCAGCCACACUGGGACUGAGACACGGCCCAGACUCCUACGGGAGUCAGCAGUGGGGAAUUUUGGACAAUGGGCGAAAGCCUGAUCCAGCAAUGCCGCGUGCAGGAUGAAGGCCUUCGGGUUGUAAACUGCUUUUGUACGGAACGAAAAGCCCCGGGUUAAUACCCUGGGGUCAUGACGGUACCGUAAGAAUAAGCACCGGCUAACUACGUGCCAGCCGCCGCGGUAA